Long non-coding RNA from Lycium barbarum (goji berry), 688 nucleotides. RefSeq lists it as uncharacterized. NCBI's taxonomy places the organism in Eukaryota, Viridiplantae, Streptophyta, Magnoliopsida, Solanales, Solanaceae. The record is from RefSeq and is a predicted model, not a curated record. The transcript has 3 exons.
AAUUCUCUCUUUAAUUACGUCCCCAGAAUCUCAUUUCUCCCCAAAUCCAUUUUCCUAUCAAACCCGAUCUCCCCUCUCCCAAAAUUCAUUUGGUCUCUUCUCUAGAAACAAGGACCGGCGAUUUCACAUAUCCCCACCCUCAUUUCUCACUAAUUUAGAGGUAAUUGUUUAGUUUGGCUUGAUUUAAUGGCCAUCCAAGACAAAGAUGAGUAAUUAUGGGAUUGUAGAAACGUGGGCUUUUGGGUAUUAAUACCCAAAAUUGAAGAUGCAAAUGACGAUCUCCACCCAAAUCGAGAUUUUCCCCCUGUUUUGUUGGAGAGCACAAACGUUUUCUUGAGCAAAUUUUCGCUCCUAAGCUUGAUUUUCUUUUUCUCGGCAAACAAGCUUAGGGAAAUGACAUAAUGCAGACGAGGUUGAAAUAGGAGAGGUGGAGAGGACUGUGACAAUCAAGUAACCCUCGGCAAGGACACUCUACUGAGACACAAUCAUCAAGAACUUCUGUUGAAAGUGUGCAUCCCACUCUAGAAACUGAAAAUAGUGAUGUAGGAAUAAAUUUCUUCAACAAAGGAGAUGAUGUUGGCCGAGGAGAAGUUCGAAGACAUUUGACUUUUUUCUCAUGUGUAUACACAAUUACAAUGUAUUACGGAGUGUUGUGUACUUUGUUACAUAAAUUAUUUGGUAAUGAAAA